GUGCUAAAACCUAGCCGCCGCCUCCUCCCUCGCUCGCUUCCACUCCUCCCGCAGCCGCCACCUCCUCCCUCCCACGCAGCCGCCUCCCUCCCUCACUCGCUCCUCAUCCGGCGACGGCGGCUCCCACACCCGCGUUCUUCCUCCCCCAACACGCCCCGCUCGGCCCCGCACGCCUAGGCGGCUUCCACCAACCACGGCGACGGCGCAGCGGCCACGGAGGAGGGCGGCGGAUCAGCGGCGCCGGCGAUGGCGUCCGUGGCAGCGGUGGAGGGCGCGGCUUCGUUCGGUGCUGUUGCGCGCGCAGCAGGCGGCGGCGCGGCCGGGGCGCGCGUCAGAGUCGAUGCGCGUGGUGGCGGUGAACAAGACGAAGCCCGUGGGCGUCAUCCACGGCGCGGACGACGCCGGCCACCGCUGCUUCGGCUAGAACUACGUCCAGGAGCUCAUCGACAAGGCCCCCCAGGUUGUACCCCCAGCUGAGAUGAAUGAAAUUUUUAUCCCCUUUCACCGCGUGAAAGAACUGCUGAUUGGAACGUGAAUGGAAAACAAGUCUCUCUCUCUCUCUCUCUCUCUCUCUCUCUCUCUCGUGCUUCUGCUCGCCCGGGAUGCAGCUCUUCAGUGAGCUCGACAAGAUGUGCUUGAAGAAAAGGGCCAUUGGAUUGUACAGGAAAAAUGGGAUGUUGUUCUUUGCUGCUUCACCUAGCCUUGCUGCUCAACCACGUUGCCCCUGGUAUUGUUGUUGUGGGUUGGUGCUGCUGCUGUUGCAGGGGCAGCAGUGUCUCUAAGCAAACAGGUUGUUGUGUACCUACGACAUAGGUUAAACUGUGGGCUUACUUUUCUUAGGUCAAGGCUCUGCUAGAUGCCAUCUUUAAGUUGGUGUGUACCUACAAAAUAGGUCAUUCGUACCUAGCUCAAUGCUCUUGAAGUUAUCUCUAAGUAAACAUUGUUUACCCAUUACAUUGUUAAUUCCAGUUGCUUGGUUGAUUAUCGUCGUACAAUAUAAUUCAGAGAACACUAUUGUGUUUGUUUAUUCAUAGAAAACACUUCAAAGUCUGCUGAUAGAUCAUAAUGGACUUCCUACUUGGAUAGAUGCCCUCACUCAUAAUUUUUCUAUCUCUAUUUAUUUUCUACCAACUUCACUAAGAUUAGAGAUAUGACGUUUCCUACCUCUAAUUACUUCUCUACUGGCUUCACUUAAAUUAGAGAUAUGAUGGUAGAUAAUCUUGGCCCACGAGCGGCACGGCUCAUUUAACCCAGAGAAGUGGAAGGAUUUAGUUUAAGACGGACAAAUGAUCAUGUCCAUUAGCUAUUUUCUAAUUAUGAGAUAUAUAGCUCUCUGGAUAGAUGCAUGUUCACUUCCUUUUUGUUUCUUUUUAUUUGUUUGGCUACUCUUGGGCUGCAGUGGUAUGUGAAAUGUUGCAACAAAAAUGCCGAAUAAUGGAAACCAAGUCAAUUAUGUGAUUCAGAUGUAUCUUUCAGCAUAUCAAUCUUAGUCCAGGUGGUUUCCUACUUAGUGCUUUGGGAGGGAUAUAUGCAUUUUGGUUCAUAUCGAUGUUUGUAGGGUGUGCCCAGUUUUCAGUGCACUGCAGUACCUGUUCAGGUUAGUCGUGUUCAGGUUAGUGCUUUGGGAGAAAUAUGUGUAUGUGUUCCAGGAUCCAGUAGGCCACCUUCUCAUUGUUGUUUAUAUAUGCACCAAGCAUUGGUUGCUGCUUGCUAAUUAUAGUUGCCAUUGUGAUUAAUAACAGGUAUUUUUACGGUUUACUUAAUUUUCUACCUUCUCAUUGCUGUUACUCGCUAGCAGCAGAAAUAUUCAGCUUAUUCAUGAGGUAACAGCAGGGUCUGUUGCGCUGAAUCUUUGAGAUGAAACCAAACCAAACUAAUACAUACCUAGCAUCCGUCCAGAAGUCUUGAUUACGGAAUAUAUAUGGUCCCAUUUUAAGUUUCAGAGGAUAUGCUCGGUUAUCUGUUCUUUUGUAGGGAUUUGAGAAAAAAGAAAAGAAAAAACACUUAUAAUAAGGCAAUGGCUUCGUGAGAAAGCACAAGAAAUAUCGUUGCGCGGCAGCAAGGCAUACCUUAAUUUGCUUCAUGGUGAACUGGAAAUGUGCUUUUAUGUCAAACUGAAAAAAAAUAUGUUGUCUGCUAGCACCGUAAUAUGUCCAUCCAUUAACCACUAUUUUGUCGAAAUACAGGCCUCUGUUUCUGGUUAUUACAAGCUAGGUAGUAUUGUGGCAGUGAUCGGAAACUUCUACACGACUCAUCACCAUCAUGUCCAUGCCCCAGACUUGGGAAGAAUUUUGUAGUUCCACUGUUGGAUUCCAAGCAGGCAAUUCAUGAUCAGCCUUGCGCAAGCUAUGGAGUUUCAAUAAAUCGAUUGACAGGUAGAGUGACUGCUGGGGUCAUAAACGAAGAAACAAUGAAGUCACUGGACAACAAAACGGAUUAUUUAUUCCCAAUGUCGUUGCUCUUGCAAAAUUGCAGGCCUAUUGGUUAUGUGGUGGUUAUGUUGGUUUUAUCUUCCGGUUGGUUGUUAGUCCCCUACAAGAGUUGUCACAAUAUGAAAAGGCUCCAAAAGGUGUCACGGUCAGGAAUCUUUUUUCCAGGCAUCCGGUGAUGAUUAGGUAACCAAACCAUAUCACAAGAUGUGUGUUUGUGUGGUCUGGCAAAGUAAUGCUCUUCUUUUGUGAGAAGAGGGCCACAGUACCAAUUGGGCAGAUUUUGUCAAGGCGGCGGGAAUAAAAGAAUAACAUAUACUCAGAUAAGGAUCUCGCCUUCAAGAUUAUAAGGGGAAAUUAUUGCUCCCUGUCCUGUCCAUACGCUUUAGAAGGAAAUCACAAGUGUAUUUUCUAUACAAAACCAUCAUGUGGUCAUCUAUAUUACGAACUAUUCACACCAGAUUCAUAUGGAAUGGCACUCAUGGUGGUAGUUGAACCAAAGCUAUCUAUCAGUAUGCCUAACUAUGGCUUCGUAGUUUUAGUGCAUCCACUGCCAUUGUGUUGGCUUUUGCUCUCUAAUGUUCCUACUUGUACUACUGAACUUAAUGUCAACUAACUAGCUUUUGUAAUAUCAUGGCUGCAUUGAACUUGAUGUUGCCUUACUUC
Triticum aestivum (bread wheat) is the source of this 3095-nucleotide long non-coding RNA. RefSeq lists it as uncharacterized. Lineage: Eukaryota; Viridiplantae; Streptophyta; Magnoliopsida; Poales; Poaceae. The record is from RefSeq and is a predicted model, not a curated record. The transcript is spliced from 6 exons.